RNAcentral lists this ribosomal RNA (328 nucleotides) under uncultured eukaryote. Its description in RNAcentral is "partial 18S ribosomal RNA". It matches the Rfam family "Eukaryotic small subunit ribosomal RNA", at positions 1470 to 1796 of the family's 1831-position model. The record is from RNAcentral.
CCCUUAGAUGUCCUGGGCCGCACGCGCGUUACACUGAUGCAUUCAACGAGCUUAUAACCUUGGCCGAGAGGCCUGGGCAAUCUUGUUAACGUGCAUCGUGAUAGGGAUAGAUUAUUGAAAUUAUUAAUCUUGAACGAGGAAUUCCUAGUAAACGCAGAUCAUCAAUCUGCAUUGAUUACGUCCCUGUCCUUUGUACACACCGCCCGUCGCACCUACCGAUUGGAUGGUCCGGUGAAGCCUCGGGAUUGUGGUUCUUGCCGCUUUAUUGUGGCGUGACCGCGAGAACUUGUCUAAACCUUAUCAUCUAGAGGAAGGUGAAGUCGUAACA